Molecule: ribosomal RNA, 624 nt
Filed under: uncultured bacterium
Lineage: Bacteria
Description: bacterial SSU rRNA
Rfam family: Bacterial small subunit ribosomal RNA
Source: RNAcentral
CAUGCAAGUCGAGGGACCGGCGCACGGGUGAGUAACGCGUAUCCAACCUGCCCAUGUCUGGGGAAUAACCCGUCGAAAGGCGGACUAACUCCCCAUGGACAUGGAUGGGGAUGCGUCUGAUUAGGUAGUAGGCGGGGUAACGGCCCACCUAGCCUACGAUCAGUAGGGGUUCUGAGAGGAAGGUCCCCACAUUGGAACUGAGACACGGUCCAAACUCCUACGGGAGGCAGCAGUGAGGAAUAUUGGUCAAUGGACGAGAGUCUGAACCAGCCAAGUAGCGUGCAGGAUGACGGCCUAUGGGUUGUAAACUGCUUUUGCGCGGGGAUAGGUACCGCGCGAAUAAGGACCGGCUAAUUCCGUGCCAGCAGCCGCGGUAAUACGGAAGGUCCGGGCGUUAUCCGGAUUUAUUGGGUUUAAAGGGAGCGUAGGCCGUGAGGUAAGCGUGUUGUGAAAUGUAGGCGCCCAACGUCUGCACUGCAGCGCGAACUGCCCCACUUGAGUGCGCGCAACGCCGGCGGAACUCGUCGUGUAGCGGUGAAAUGCUUAGAUAUGACGAAGAACCCCGAUUGCGAAGGCAGCUGGCGGGAGCGUAACUGACGCUGAAGCUCGAAAGCGCGGGUAUCG